GGAUGUGACUCAGUGGUACAAGUGCUUGCCUGCCAUGCAUGAGGCCCUGGGUUCAAAUCCCCAAGCACCA
This 70-nucleotide transfer RNA is filed under the name Marmota monax (woodchuck). RNAcentral describes it as "tRNA.Gly". Lineage: Eukaryota; Metazoa; Chordata; Mammalia; Rodentia; Sciuridae. The record is from RNAcentral.